Molecule: ribosomal RNA, 468 nt
Filed under: uncultured bacterium
Lineage: Bacteria
Description: partial 16S ribosomal RNA
Rfam family: Bacterial small subunit ribosomal RNA
Source: RNAcentral
GACGAACGCUGGCGGCGUGCUUAACACAUGCAAGUCGAACGGAAAGGCCCUGCUUUUGUGGGGUGCUCGAGUGGCGAACGGGUGAGUAACACGUGAGUAACCUGCCCUUGACUUUGGGAUAACUUCAGGAAACUGGGGCUAAUACCGGAUAGGAUCUCCUGCUGCAUGGUGGGGGUUGGAAAGUUUCGGCGGUUGGGGAUGGACUCGCGGCUUAUCAGCUUGUUGGUGGGGUAGUGGCUUACCAAGGCUUUGACGGGUAGCCGGCCUGAGAGGGUGACCGGCCACAUUGGGACUGAGAGACGGCCCAGACUCCUACGGGAGGCAGCAGUGGGGAAUAUUGCAGAAUGGGCGGAAGCCUGAUGCAGCAACGCCGCGUGCGGGAUGACGGCCUUCGGGUUGUAAACCGAUUUCGCCUGUGACGAAGAGUGAGUGACGGUAAUGGGUAAAGAAGCACCGGCUAACUACGUG